Molecule: ribosomal RNA, 549 nt
Filed under: uncultured bacterium
Lineage: Bacteria
Description: bacterial SSU rRNA
Rfam family: Bacterial small subunit ribosomal RNA
Source: RNAcentral
UGGGGAAUAUUGGACAAUGGGGGAAACCCUGAUCCAGCGACGCCGCGUGUGUGAAGAAGGCCUGCGGGUUGUAAAGCACUUUUAGUGGGGACAAAAAGCCACGGAUUAAUACUUCAUGGUCUUGAUUUAACCCAAAGAAAAAGCACCGGCUAACUCUGUGCCAGCAGCCGCGGUACUACAGAGGGUGCGAGCGUUAAUCGGAAUUACUGGGCGUAAAGCGCGCGUAGACGGUUUUGUAAGUCAGAUGUGAAAUCCCUGGGCUCAACCUGGGAACUGCAUUUGAAACUGCAUGGCUAGAGUAUGGUAGAGGGAAGUGGAAUUUCCGGUGUAGCGGUGAAAUGCGUAGAUAUCGGAAGGAACACCAGUGGCGAAAGCGACUUCCUGGACCAAUACUGACGUUCAUGUGCGAAAGCGUGGGGAGCAAACAGGAUUAGAUACCCUGGUAGUCCACGCCAUAAACGAUGACAACUAGAUGUUGGGAGGGUCUGCCUCUCGGUGUCGCAGCUAACGCGUUAAGUUGUCCGCCUGGGGAGUACGGUCGCAAGGCUG